AUACGUAGGGGGCGAGCGUUGUCCGGAAUGACUGGGCGUAAAGGGCGUGUAGGCGGCCGAUUAAGUCUGGAGUGAAAGUCCCGCUUUCAAGGUGGGAAUUGCUUUGGAGACUGGUUGGCUUGAGUGCGGAAGAGGUAAGUGGAAUUCCCAGUGUAGCGGUGAAAUGCGUAGAGAUUGGGAGGAACACCAGUGGCGAAGGCGACUUACUGGACUGUAACUGACGCUGAGGCGCGAAAGUGUGGGGAGCAAACAGGAUUAGAUACCCUGGUAGUCCACACUGUAAACGAUGAAUGCUAGGUGUAGGGGGUAUCGACCCCUUCUGUGCCGCAGUCAACACAAUAAGCAUUCCGCCUGGGGAGUACGGCCGCAAGGUUGAAACUCAAAUGAAUUGGCGGGG
RNAcentral lists this ribosomal RNA (397 nucleotides) under uncultured bacterium. RNAcentral describes it as "partial 16S ribosomal RNA". It matches the Rfam family "Bacterial small subunit ribosomal RNA", at positions 523 to 918 of the family's 1533-position model. The record is from RNAcentral.